ACUUUUGAAAUAUCCA
This 16-nucleotide microRNA is filed under the name Ananas comosus (pineapple). Its description in RNAcentral is "microRNA s1477_c080b". The record is from RNAcentral. Lineage: Eukaryota; Viridiplantae; Streptophyta; Magnoliopsida; Poales; Bromeliaceae.